RNAcentral lists this ribosomal RNA (333 nucleotides) under Tetrodontophora bielanensis (giant springtail). RNAcentral describes it as "eukaryotic LSU rRNA". It matches the Rfam family "Eukaryotic large subunit ribosomal RNA", at positions 666 to 946 of the family's 3401-position model. The record is from RNAcentral. Lineage: Eukaryota; Metazoa; Arthropoda; Collembola; Poduromorpha; Onychiuridae.
CCAAGGAGUCUAACAUGUACGCGAGUCAUUGGGAAUGUUAAACCCAAAGGCAUAAUGAAAGUAAAGAUUCAUAUUGUGAAUUUGAGGAGAGAUAAUGGUUCUACUUGACAUUCUGAAAGGUUUGUUUGAGUAUGAAUAUUCGCAUCUCCUGGACGUCUAUACUUCUGAAAGUUGGGCGUACCUAGAGCGUACACGUUGGGACCCGAAAGAUGGUGAACUAUGCCUGGUCAGGACGAAGCCAGGGGAAACCCUGGUGGAGGUUCGUAGCGAUUCUGACGUGCAAAUCGAUCGUCGGAACUGGGUAUAGGGGCGAAAGACUAAUCGAACCAUCUA